UCACCAAAGCCUUGUCAGCUCUGGGGGAUGGCCAAAGAGUGCCAAAAUCCCGGGUUUUGGCCUCAAAAUCUGCAGGGAUGUGGCAAUGGGAUCACCAGGAUGAUGGGAUGGCCAAAGGGUGCCAAAAUCCCUGGUUUUGGCCCCAAAAUCUGCAGGGAUGAUGGGCACGUGGCAAUGGGAUCACCAAAGCCUUGUCAGUCCUGUGGGGCGGCCAAAGGAUCCCAAAAUCCCGGGUUUUGGCCCCAAAAUCUGCAGGGAUGAUGGGCACGUGGCAAUGGGAUCACCAGGACUAUGGGAUGGUCAAAGGGUGCCAAAAUCCCUGGUUUUGGCCCCAAAAUCUGCAGGGAUGUGGCAAUGGGAUCACCAGGACGAUGGGAUGGUCAAAGGAUCCCAAAAUCCCGGGUUUUGGCCUCAAAAUCUGCAGGGAUGUGGCAAUGGGAUCACCAGGAUUGUGGGAUGGCCAAAUGGUGCCAAAAUCCCUGGUUUUGGCCUCAAAAGCCGCAGGGAUUCCCAAGGAUGACUGAGAUGAGGCAAUGGGAUCACCAGGAUGAUGGGAUGGUCAAAGGGUGCCAAAAUCCCUGGUUUUGGCCCCAAAAUCUGCAGGGAUGUGGCAAUGGGAUCACCAGGACUAUGGGAUGGUCAAAGGAUCCCAAAAUCCCGGGUUUUGGCCUCAAAAUCCACAGGGGAUGUGGCAAUGGGAUCACCAUGACUAUGGGAUGAUCAAAUGAUCCCAAAAUCCCUGGUUUUGGCCUCAAAAUCUGCAGGGAUUCCCAAGGAUGACUGAGAUGAGGCAAUGGGAUCACUAGAAUUGUGGGAUGGCCAAAGGAUCCCAAAAUCCCGGGUUUUGGCCUCAAAAUCUGCAGGGAUGUGGCAAUGGGAUCACUAGAAUUGUGGGAUGGCCAAAGGAUCCCAAAAUCCCUGGUUUUGGCCUCAAAACCUGCAGGGAUGUGGCAAUGGGAUCACUAGAAUUGUGGGAUGGCCAAAGGAUCCCAAAAUCCCUGGUUUUGGCCUCAAAACCUGCAGGACUCUGUCAGUCCCAGGAGACAGGACAGGUGUGGCAAGAGGGGUGCCAAAAAUCCCACUUUUGUCCUCAAAAUGCACAGGGAAGGAGCCCCGAGGGCCACAGGGAUUCAGGAAUGGGAUUGUGGAGG
Molecule: long non-coding RNA, 1151 nt
Filed under: Lonchura striata (white-rumped munia)
Lineage: Eukaryota; Metazoa; Chordata; Aves; Passeriformes; Estrildidae
Description: domestica (Bengalese finch) lncRNA (ENSLSDG00000003201.1)
Source: RNAcentral